CUGCGGCAGCGACACUGUGUGUUGUUGGGUAGGGGAGCGUUCUGUAAGCCUGUGAAGGUGUGCUGUGAGGCAUGCUGGAGGUAUCAGAAGUGCGAAUGCUGACAUAAGUAACGAUAAAGCGGGUGAAAAGCCCGCUCGCCGGAAGACCAAGGGUUCCUGUCCAACGUUAAUCGGGGCAGGGUGAGUCGACCCCUAAGGCGAGGCCGAAAGGCGUAGUCGAUGGGAAACAGGUUAAUAUUCCUGUACUUGGUGUUACUGCGAAGGGGGGACGGAGAAGGCUAUGUUGGCCGGGCAACGGUUGUCCCGGUUUAAGCGUGUAGGCUGGUUUUCCAGGCAAAUCCGGAAAAUCAAGGCUGAGGCGUGAUGACGAGGCACUACGGUGCUGAAGCAACAAAUGCCCUGCUUCCAGGAAAAGCCUCUAAGCAUCAGGUAACAUCAAAUCGUACCCCAAACCGACACAGGUGGUCAGGUAGAGAAUACCAAGGCGCUUGAGAGAACUCGGGUGAAGGAACUAGGCAAAAUGGUGCCGUAACUUCGGGAGAAGGCACGCUGAUAUGUAGGUGAAGUCCCUCGCGGAUGGAGCUGAAAUCAGUCGAAGAUACCAGCUGGCUGCAACUGUUUAUUAAAAACACAGCACUGUGCAAACACGAAAGUGGACGUAUACGGUGUGACGCCUGCCCGGUGCCGGAAGGUUAAUUGAUGGGGUCAGCGCAAGCGAAGCUCUUGAUCGAAGCCCCGGUAAACGGCGGCCGUAACUAUAACGGUCCUAAGGUAGCGAAAUUCCUUGUCGGGUAAGUUCCGACCUGCACGAAUGGCGUAAUGAUGGCCAGGCUGUCUCCACCCGAGACUCAGUGAAAUUGAACUCGCUGUGAAGAUGCAGUGUACCCGCGGCAAGACGGAAAGACCCCGUGAACCUUUACUAUAGCUUGACACUGAACAUUGAGCCUUGAUGUGUAGGAUAGGUGGGAGGCUUUGAAGUGUGGACGCCAGUCUGCAUGGAGCCGACCUUGAAAUACCACCCUUUAAUGUUUGAUGUUCUAACGUGGACCCGUGAUCCGGGUUGCGGACAGUGUCUGGUGGGUAGUUUGACUGGGGCGGUCUCCUCCUAAAGAGUAACGGAGGAGCACGAAGGUUGGCUAAUCCUGGUCGGACAUCAGGAGGUUAGUGCAAUGGCAUAAGCCAGCUUGACUGCGAGCGUGACGGCGCGAGCAGGUGCGAAAGCAGGUCAUAGUGAUCCGGUGGUUCUGAAUGGAAGGGCCAUCGCUCAACGGAUAAAAGGUACUCCGGGGAUAACAGGCUGAUACCGCCCAAGAGUUCAUAUCGACGGCGGUGUUUGGCACCUCGAUGUCGGCUCAUCACAUCCUGGGGCUGAAGUAGGUCCCAAGGGUAUGGCUGUUCGCCAUUUAAAGUGGUACGCGAGCUGGGUUUAGAACGUCGUGAGACAGUUCGGUCCCUAUCUGCCGUGGGCGCUGGAGAACUGAGGGGGGCUGCUCCUAGUACGAGAGGACCGGAGUGGACGCAUCACUGGUGUUCGGGUUGUCAUGCCAAUGGCACUGCCCGGUAGCUAAAUGCGGAAGAGAUAAGUGCUGAAAGCAUCUAAGCACGAAACUUGCCCCGAGAUGAGUUCUCCCUGACCCUUUAAGGGUCCUGAAGGAACGUUGAAGACGACGACGUUGAUAGGCCGGGUGUGUAAGCGCAGCGAUGCGUUGAGCUAACCGGUACUAAUGAACCGUGAGGCUUAACCUUACAACGCCGAAGGUGUUU
Molecule: ribosomal RNA, 1764 nt
Filed under: Escherichia coli
Lineage: Bacteria; Pseudomonadati; Pseudomonadota; Gammaproteobacteria; Enterobacterales; Enterobacteriaceae
Description: bacterial LSU rRNA
Rfam family: Bacterial large subunit ribosomal RNA
Source: RNAcentral